GCCAGGCUUGGUGGUGCAUACCUGUAGUCUCAGCUGCUCUGGAGGCUGAGGUUGGGGGAUCACUUGAGCCCAGGAGUUUGAGGUUACAGUGAGCCGUGGUGGCGCCACUACACUCCAGCCUGGGCAACAGAGUGAGACCCUGUCUCUU
This is a non-coding RNA of Homo sapiens (human), 148 nucleotides long. It matches the Rfam family "Metazoan signal recognition particle RNA". From Rfam's summary of the family: The signal recognition particle (SRP) is a universally conserved ribonucleoprotein. The record is from Rfam. NCBI's taxonomy places the organism in Eukaryota, Metazoa, Chordata, Mammalia, Primates, Hominidae.